CAGUAGCCGCGGUAAUACGGAGGGGGCUAGCGUUGUUCGGAAUUACUGGGCGUAAAGCGCACGUAGGCGGCUUGGUAAGUUAGAGGUGAAAGCCUGGAGCUCAACUCCAGAAUUGCCUUUAAGACUGCCGAGCUAGCAGGUGAGAGAGGUAAGUGGAAUUCCGAGUGUAGAGGUGAAAUUCGUAGAUAUUCGGAAGAACACCAGUGGCGAAGGCGGCUUACUGGCUCAUACUGGACGCUGAGGUGCGAAAGCGUGGGGAGCAAACAGGAUUAGAUACCCGUGUAGUCCCUGUCUCUUAUAU
This 301-nucleotide ribosomal RNA is filed under the name uncultured bacterium. Its description in RNAcentral is "partial 16S ribosomal RNA". It matches the Rfam family "Bacterial small subunit ribosomal RNA", at positions 509 to 809 of the family's 1533-position model. The record is from RNAcentral.